ACAUGCAAGUCGAGCGGAAAGGCCCCUUCGGGGGUACUCGAGCGGCGAACGGGUGAGUAACACGUGGGUAAUCAACCCUUGACAUCGGGAUACCCCGGGGAAACCCGGAUCAAUACCGGAUAAGGUGCGGAGGCGCAGGCCGCCGUACCAAAGAUAGCUUCGGCUUUCGGUCAAGGACGAGCCCGCGGCCCAUUAGCUUGUUGGUGGGGUAAUGGCCUACCAAGGCGACGAUGGGUAGCUGGUCUGAGAGGACGAUCAGCCACACUGGGACUGAGACACGGCCCAGACUCC
Molecule: ribosomal RNA, 291 nt
Filed under: unidentified marine bacterioplankton
Lineage: Bacteria
Also listed under: 1 other name
Description: partial 16S ribosomal RNA
Rfam family: Bacterial small subunit ribosomal RNA
Source: RNAcentral